GCCGGCAUAGCUCAGUUGGUAGAGCAGCUGAUUCGUAAUCAGCAGGCCAUCGGUUCGAGUCCGAUUGCCGGCUCCA
This 76-nucleotide transfer RNA is filed under the name Dissulfuribacter thermophilus. RNAcentral's name for it is "tRNA-Thr". It matches the Rfam family "tRNA". Rfam says of the family: Transfer RNA (tRNA) molecules are approximately 80 nucleotides in length. Their secondary structure includes four short double-helical elements and three loops (D, anti-codon, and T loops). The record is from RNAcentral. Lineage: Bacteria; Pseudomonadati; Thermodesulfobacteriota; Dissulfuribacteria; Dissulfuribacterales; Dissulfuribacteraceae.